This 4054-nucleotide long non-coding RNA is filed under the name Strigops habroptila (Kakapo). RNAcentral's name for it is "lncRNA (ENSSHBG00005019614.1)". Lineage: Eukaryota; Metazoa; Chordata; Aves; Psittaciformes; Psittacidae. The record is from RNAcentral.
UUUUAUUUUUUUUACAGAUAUGAUGAGUUUGUGGAAAAAUACUGCCUAACCUGUCACGGCCAUCAGCACACUGCUGCCAGUGAUGCUUUCAUCUCUUUGCUUUAAAAAGGAUGCAUCCUGAGAUGGGGUUAGGGGCAAAAAGGAAAGAAAAAGUUGAUUACUGAACUGGAGAAAAGAGCUAGUGUUUAGCUGAAGGCAAAAAAACCCCUUUUUGAGUCACCUCCUCAGAGUGACUAUCAUAAUAAUUAUGUGACAAACUAUCAACUUGUAGCUCAGUAGCUGUUGAACAUAUCUGCUGAUUGUGAAGUAUGCGCCUAACAACAUAAAGGCACUACAAGAGGAGGAAUAGUAUAAAAGACAGAAAUAAAAUUCAACUCAUGAUGGCUGUCUGUACAUUUAGAAUUUGCAAAGUUUGUGCUCAUCUCCAAAAGCACUGAAGGAAAGGAAGAAACUGGAAAGGACUGACUGAUAGUCUAAGAAUGUCUCAGUGUGUCAUCACAGAGUAAUUUUUUAUUUUCGUGUUCUGUGCUUUAUCAAUAAAAUAUACCUCUGAAAUAUAUAUGUGAGAAAAUACAAUGCUCGCAGGGAAUGAGGCUGGGUCAUGACAUUUCCCAGGAUGUCACUUUGGUGAAGAUCACUGGGAGAUGCCUCCAUCAGUGCCCAGCAUCCUUUUGUGUGACCGUGCUGCCUCUCACUACAGCUCCCUCCUUGGCAGAAACACUCCAUGUGGUGUGCUCAGAGGGAAGUCUUCCGUGUGAACAUUUUCGGCAAAAAGCAUUAAAGGCAAAAGUGCAAACAAUCUGGCGAGAGUAAAUAUAGCAUCUGCAAUGCAGGUGCAUUCCAUUUGCUCAGUGAGCUCUCCAAGCAGAUCAGGGCUUGGUUUGGUUUUUUUUUUUUUUUAAUAGGGGGGAUAUACAUUGUCUAAACUCUUUCUCUGCUGUCACUACCUUGUCAGAUUCCGAUUUUGCAGACUGUCCCUGUGGCAGCUGCAGGAGAAGCAGCAAGAGGAAGAUCAAUGCCCGCCUCCUGCUUUUCCAGCAGAACUGUUUUGAAAACUCUGUAAGCUGAACACGAGCCUUUAGGGAAUGUUUGAAGAUAAUAAAUAUCUAAUGAUAACAGGGGACUAUUGCCUUGAGGAGACAAUGACUUGUUCUCCUUUGGAGGCAAACUGGCUAACUAUGAAGUAUCUGAGGCUAACUGUAAAUUACCUCUGUGAGGCACACCCCAUACAAUCACAAGGCUUUCAUCUAGUUAAUGUAAGAAAUAAAACCAUUUUCACAUGGCCAAACUGGCUGGAGCUGUCAGCAAAAAAGUGAGAAACUUUAUAAAGGUGAAAAUGGCCAAUGUACCGAAAGGUACAUAAACCUGGAACUGAGCUGAACUGGAAGUAAUCCACCUGAAGAACACAGAAGACACUUGACUUUUCCCAUAGCCAUACAAAUGGUGCUGUGUUGCUGGUGGGGCACAGUUGUGCACAAAUGAGUUUGGAAAGAGGAUUUUUCAGUUUGGAAUAAACUCACGACUUGAUGGCAAUGAAGAGGGAUUUUUAGGGUGGUAAAAUAAAUAUUCCAGAGUGCUAUUCAAGUCAUGUCCAUGUGACCCUAUGAAUCUGGGAAUAUCUGGAGUUUGAGCCUCUUUUGCUGCAACUGGUCAUGAGGGUUAUGCCUAAGCCGGUAAGUGAGACCUACCAAGAGCAGCAUGGACAGUGAGUGAUGCUGGAAAAUCCAUCAAAAGGAGUUUAUCACAAUGGAAAAUAAAUUAGAUUGGUCCAGUUCCUCUUCAUGGGUUACUCGAGGCUUAAAAAAGGCAGUAGCUACAAAUAUGUCACCUGAGUAUUUGGAAUUGAUUUAGUAUAUCACAAUCUGUUACUCCAUUUCCGAGACAAGCUCCCCCCAGAAAAUUCUGAACUACAGUUUCAGAGUCUGUUGUCAUUUGCUUUAAGGAAAAUUUCUGUAGUUUAAUCUUAUGAUCCUAGAAAUUAUGUUAGCAGCUUGGGUUUUCUGAAACCAAUGAAACAUUCAAAUGGCAGAUGGUGUGCAGGCUCAGCAGAGAUAAAGGUUGCGUGACUGUGCUAGGAAUAAAACAUAAAUGGCCUGGUACAUUGUGUUUGGUGGAGUUUUUUGGUUAGGAGGGAUUUUUAUUGUAUUUUUUUCUUACAACACACACCCUGUAGGCACAUCUGCAUCAUCUUUUAUAAUGCAGUAAGGAAAAAAAAAAGCUUCUUGCAUUGCUGACACAGUUUCUGUGACUGGAUGACUGUCAAACUAAUUUAAAUUAAAAAAACCUAUUUACAAAUAUAGUACAGAGAAACGAUAUUUGAUCCAAUGGACAGACUGAAGUCUGUCCCAAGGGCUACUGCUCUUAUCCUGACAGUAAUGUGCAUGAACAAUGUAUUUCUCCCUAAUUAAAAUGAGUUAAUAUCACUAACCAAGAUGCUUGAAAAACUGCAGAAGAAAACACAUUGUAAGCAUUCAGUGUUAUUAACUGUUACGACAGAAACCAUGUUUCUUUGCAUCAAAAAUUCUUCCAAAUUUCCAUAUUUAUGCAAAAACGUUUUUAAAGCCUAAACCUCUCAAAUAUAUUUCAACAGCAGGAAAAAAAGCUUCAUAAUUCUGAUCAACAGAAAGAUGCAUAAUUAUAUGAAUUUUCUUCGAGGAAAGAUAUAGCAUAUGUUGUUUAUUUAUCACAGGUCUUUUGCACUGUCUCUGCUUUUAUGAGGGAUACUGCUGAGCAGCAGUCAUUGCCUGAAGAGAGCAAAGGUUUCUAUGCCAGGAUUAAGGUAAUGCCAAUAACCUUGAUUUACUGACUUGGCACAUCCCUAGGGAAUUUAUACAUUAUCAGACAUGCUUUGAAAAAAAAGACACAGGAACUUAAACCCUGAUCAUCAUAACCAGUAUUGCUUUCAUGUUCACUUUGAUAAAACGGCUUUCAGUCUGUUUGUUAUGGUAUUAUGGGAAGGCACACCUACAAGGAUGAUUUGUUGUAGUUCAAAAGUGAAGACAAAAAUGAACUUUUAUGGUCAGGCACUUAAAAUGCUGAAGAUAAAUUCACACUGAGUGCAAAAGCCAGGUCUAAUCCCACUCAAGGAUUAGACUGUCACUGUGGCAGCCCAGGAAAUUUUGAGAUCUUCUGAGCAUCUAAGAUUUAUGCCUCCACGAAUGGUGUUCAAAAAAUCUGGCAGCCCUUUCUGUCCGAUGACUGAAGAACAGUUUCAGGUUUCUUGGAAAUGUCAGAAUUUCACAGGGAAUGGAAAUUCCCAUUUCUGAGUAACCCCAAGUGCUGUUUCUGCUCUUGUCCCAGGAGAACAGACAGACAGAAAUGGCACAACCUGAGCUCUCUCCCCAGUGCAUGAGCCACCAAAGCUGUAAUGUAUUAUGUACAGAGAAAUUCAUCUUCCUGCCAUAGCAAAGAAGAGGAAUAGGGCAAAAAAUUGCACUCACUUUGCACCUGGAGCCGAGUACAGAAGCAAUUAGACACUAUGUAUGACAACUGCACACAUUUUCUUAAUUGCCAAGUAUUUUAAGAAUUUCACCUUAUAAAGUAAAAGACCAUUAUUAUGAAGAUUAUUACUAUGAGGAUUAUUACAAAGAUUAUUAUUUUACAAGCAAUUAUAUAUUUUCAUAAUUGAUUAAAAACUAUUCACAAUUUCAUAAAGAUUGGUAUUUUCUAAUUAAUCUGUCAUAAUGAACUAAAAUUAUUUUCUUAUUUCUAGUUUUUACCAGAAUCAUUACAAAUUGCAGAGGAUGGCAAAGAACAUGAUUUGACCAUUCUGAGUACUGUACCCAUUGUCUCUCCACGGCAUGAUGAUUCUUGUAAAAUUACUCUGCAACUAAGUAUCGAGGAUUUGGGUAAGAGUUUUAUAUAUUGGCAUCAAAUCAAUGUGCUUACUUUCCCCUGCAUUUAUGUUACAAUAAAUUCUCAUAGAAAUUAUAAGACGUAAAUAACAGCAAAGGGGCAGAAGCCAUAAUAUCAGCAAGCUAGGUCAUAUAUUUGGUUGCGAAAUAAAAUAGAUGAUAAUAUCAUGCAGAGGUUUUAGGAAAAAAAAAAAAAAAAG